GGUUAAGCGACUAAGCGUACACGGUGGAUGCCUAGGCAAUCAGAGGCGAUGAAGGACGUGCUAAUCUGCGAUAAGCGUCGGUAAGGUGAUAUGAACCGUUACAACUGACGAUUUCCGAAUGGGGAAACCCAGUGCAAUUCGUUGCACUAUCGUUUGAUGAAUACAUAGUCAAACGAAGCGAACCGGGGGAACUGAAACAUCUCAGUACCCCGAGGAAAAGAAAUCAACCGAGAUUCCCCUAGUAGCGGCGAGCGAACGGGGAGCAGCCCAGAGUCUUAAUCAGCAUUAGCAUCAGGAGAACGGUCUGGAAAGUCCGGCAGUAAAGGGUGAUAGCCCCGUAUCCGAAGGUGUUAGUGUUGUGAACUCGACGAGUAGGGCGGGACACGUGUUAUCCUGUCUGAAUAUGGGGGGACCAUCCUCCAAGGCUAAAUACUCCUGAUUGACCGAUAGUGAACCAGUACCGUGAGGGAAAGGCGAAAAGAACCCCGGCGAGGGGAGUGAAAUAGAACCUGAAACCGUGUACGUACAAGCAGUGGGAGCCUUGAUUUAUCAGGGUGACUGCGUACCUUUUGUAUAAUGGGUCAGCGACUUAUAUUCUUUAGCAAGGUUAACCGUAUAGGGGAGCCGUAGGGAAACCGAGUCUUAACUGGGCGAAUAAGUUGCAGGGUAUAGACCCGAAACCCGGUGAUCUAGCCAUGGGCAGGUUGAAGGUUGGGUAACACUAACUGGAGGACCGAACCGACUAAUGUUGAAAAAUUAGCGGAUGACUUGUGGCUGGGGGUGAAAGGCCAAUCAAACCGGGAGAUAGCUGGUUCUCCCCGAAAGCUAUUUAGGUAGCGCCUCGUGAACUCAUCUUCGGGGGUAGAGCACUGUUUCGACUAGGGGGUCAUCCCGACUUACCAACUCGAUGCAAACUACGAAUACCGAAGAAUGUUAUCACGGGAGACACACGGCGGGUGCUAACGUUCGUCGUGAAGAGGGAAACAACCCAGACCGCCAGCUAAGGUCCCAAAGUCAUAGUUAAGUGGGAAACGAAGUGGGAAGGCUCAGACAGCCAGGAUGUUGGCUUAGAAGCAGCCAUCAUUUAAAGAAAGCGUAAUAGCUCACUGGUCGAGUCGGCCUGCGCGGAAGAUGUAACGGGGCUAAACUAUGCACCGAAGCUGCGGCAGCGAUAUGUAAAUAUUGUUGGGUAGGGGAGCGUUCUGUAAGCCUGUGAAGGUGUGCUGUGAGGCAUGCUGGAGGUAUCAGAAGUGCGAAUGCUGACAUAAGUAACGAUAAUGCGGGUGAAAACCCCGCACGCCGGAAGACCAAGGGUUCCUGUCCAACGUUAAUCGGGGCAGGGUGAGUCGACCCCUAAGGCGAGGCAGAAAUGCGUAGUCGAUGGGAAACGGGUUAAUAUUCCCGUACUGGUGAUAAUUGCGAUGGGGGGGACGGAGAAGGCUAGGCUAUCCGGGCGACGGUUGUCCCGGUUUAAGGAUGUAGGCAGGUGAAUUAGGCAAAUCCGGUUCACUACAUGCUGAGGUCCGACGACGAGUCACUACGGUGAUGAAGUAGCUCAUGCCCCGCUUCCAGGAAAAGCCUCUAAGCUCUAGAUUAUCAUUAAUCGUACCCCAAACCGACACAGGUGGUCAGGUAGAGAAUACUCAGGCGCUUGAGAGAACUCGGGUGAAGGAACUAGGCAAAAUGGUGCCGUAACUUCGGGAGAAGGCACGCUGGCAUUAGGUGAAGUGAUUUACUCAUGGAGCUGAAGCCAGUCGCAGAUACCAGCUGGCUGCAACUGUUUAUUAAAAACACAGCACUGUGCAAACACGAAAGUGGACGUAUACGGUGUGACGCCUGCCCGGUGCUGGAAGGUUAAUUGAUGGGGUUAUCCGUAAGGAGAAGCUCUUGAUCGAAGCCCCAGUAAACGGCGGCCGUAACUAUAACGGUCCUAAGGUAGCGAAAUUCCUUGUCGGGUAAGUUCCGACCUGCACGAAUGGCGUAAUGAUGGCCAGGCUGUCUCCACCCGAGACUCAGUGAAAUUGAACUCGCUGUGAAGAUGCAGUGUACCCGCGGCAAGACGGAAAGACCCCGUGAACCUUUACUAUAGCUUGACACUGAACAUUGAGCCUUGAUGUGUAGGAUAGGUGGGAGGCUUUGAAGCGUGGACGCCAGUCUGCGUGGAGCCAACCUUGAAAUACCACCCUUUAAUGUUUGAUGUUCUAACGUUGCCCCAUUAUCUGGGGUGCGGACAGUGUCUGGUGGGUAGUUUGACUGGGGCGGUCUCCUCCCAAAGAGUAACGGAGGAGCACGAAGGUUGGCUAAGCAUGGUCGGACAUCAUGCGGUUAGUGCAAAGGCAUAAGCCAGCUUGACUGCGAGAGUGACGGCUCGAGCAGGUACGAAAGUAGGUCUUAGUGAUCCGGUGGUUCUGAAUGGAAGGGCCAUCGCUCAACGGAUAAAAGGUACUCCGGGGAUAACAGGCUGAUACCGCCCAAGAGUUCAUAUCGACGGCGGUGUUUGGCACCUCGAUGUCGGCUCAUCACAUCCUGGGGCUGAAGUAGGUCCCAAGGGUACGGCUGUUCGCCGUUUAAAGUGGUACGCGAGCUGGGUUUAGAACGUCGUGAGACAGUUCGGUCCCUAUCUGCCGUGGGCGUUGGAAGAUUGAAAGGGGCUGCUCCUAGUACGAGAGGACCGGAGUGGACGCACCACUGGUGUUCGGGUUGUCAUGCCAAUGGCAUUGCCCGGUAGCUAAGUGCGGAAGAGAUAACCGCUGAAAGCAUCUAAGCGGGAAACUUGCCUUGAGAUGAGUCUUCCCUGACUCUUUAAGAGUCCUAAAGGAACGUUUAAGACUAAGACGUUGAUAGGUUGGGUGUGUAAGCGUAGCGAUACGUUGAGCUAACCAAUACUAAUGAACCGUGAGGCUUAACCUG
RNAcentral lists this ribosomal RNA (2910 nucleotides) under Providencia rettgeri. Its description in RNAcentral is "23S ribosomal RNA". It matches the Rfam family "Bacterial large subunit ribosomal RNA". The record is from RNAcentral. Lineage: Bacteria; Pseudomonadati; Pseudomonadota; Gammaproteobacteria; Enterobacterales; Morganellaceae.